ACGAACGCUGGCGGCGUGCUUAACACAUGCCAGUCGAACGGAAAGGCCCUGCUUGCAGGGUACUCGAGUGGCGAACGGGUGAGUAACACGUGGGUAAUCUGCCCUGCACUUCGGGAUAAGCCUGGGAAACUGGGUCUAAUACCGGAUAGGAGCCAUCUUUAGUGUGAUGGUUGGAAAGUUUUUCGGUGUAGGAUGAGCUCGCGGCCUAUCAGCUUGUUGGUGGGGUAAUGGCCUACCAAGGCGGCGACGGGUAGCCGGCCUGAGAGGGUGGACGGCCACAUUGGGACUGAGAUACGGCCCAGACGCCUACGGGAGGCAGCAGUGGGGAAUAUUGCACAAUGGGCGCAAGCCUGAUGCAGCGACGCCGCGUGGGGGAUGACGGCCUUCGGGUUGUAAACUCCUUUCGCUAGGGACGAAGCUUUUUGUGACGGUACCUAGAUAAGAAGCACCGGCUAACUACGUG
Molecule: ribosomal RNA, 463 nt
Filed under: uncultured bacterium
Lineage: Bacteria
Description: partial 16S ribosomal RNA
Rfam family: Bacterial small subunit ribosomal RNA
Source: RNAcentral